Molecule: non-coding RNA, 5746 nt
Organism: Equus caballus (horse)
Lineage: Eukaryota; Metazoa; Chordata; Mammalia; Perissodactyla; Equidae
Source: RefSeq, a predicted model, not a curated record
UGUACAUACAUACCUAUGAUAAAGUUUAAUUUAUAAAUUAGGCAGGAUAAGAAAUUAACAUAACUAAUAACAAAAUAGAGCAAUUGUAACAACAUACUGUAAUAACAGUUACCAUAGAUCUUAGCAACCUCAGCAUAUGAUUUUUUUUUCUUAUUAAGUCGACAACUUCCACUUUUUCACUUAAAGGAAGCACUUAACAGCUUCUCUUCAGCAUAUCGAGAUUGCCAGCAUCACUGCUCUUGCACUUUGGGGCCAUUAUUAAGUGAAACAAGGGUUACUUGAACACAAGCACCUCGAUACCGUGGCAGUCCACCUGAUAACCAAGAGGGCUACUAAGGGACUAACGGGCGGGUAGCAUAUACAGCGUGGAUACACUGGACAAAGGGGUGUCCAGGGCAGGACAGGGCGGGAGGGCGCGAGAGUUCAUCAUGCUAUUCAGAAUGGUGUGCAAUUUAAAACUUAUGAAUUAUUUAUUUCUAGAAUUUUCCAUUUAAUAUUUUUGGAUCAUGGUUGAUCGUGGGUAACUGAAACCAUGGAAAGCAAAAUGCAGAUAAGGGGGGACUACUGUAUGGGAAAGUAAUAGGACAAUUAUAUUUAUGAUGAAAUGUUGAGCAUAUACUCCUAAUUCUCCCAUGGAACACGUGUGUGUGUGUGUGUGUUUAGAGAGAGAGAGAGACUUUAAUAACAGUGAAAUAUAAUAACCAAAUUCUGAUUAGCCUGUUACAACUUUUCAAAAUUCAUUCUCCUGUAUUGCCUCAUGACUGAUAAUAACUUGGGAAGCUGAGGGACUGCCAUUAUAGUCCCUGUUGCUUAGGAGGAAACUGAUAUUCAGAGGAUUAUAAUUUACUUCAUUGGUUAGGGGAGUACCGCAAUUAGAAUCGAAGUCUUCUAAACCAGUGCCUCUCAAAAUAUCUGUAGUGAAAGACCAGUUUCCCACUCAGCCCUAAUCUGUCACCAACCAUUAUUUCUUAAUAGCAUAAUAUAAAUGAACCACUAGAAAAAUAAACAAAAAAGGUAUACAAAACACAAAUCCAAAUUUUUUAUUACUAGAUUCAACAACCAUCAAAUGACUUUAACAAAUAGCUGUAAGAGUUCUGAAAUGAUUAUCCUCAAUGUGCUUAUCGUUUUGAAUGGGUAACAAAUAGCAAGUGGACCAGCUCCAGUCUUUGAAUCACACUUUGAAUAUUGUCUGUGUCAACCAUGUCAAUCAUGGAAUCAUCCUCAGCCAGAACAUUUGCCACCUAAGUGGCCAUGUUUACUCACAAGUGAAUUUCUGCCUUCCGCCAUUUACAGCUGAUUGGACUGGAACCAAAGGAUAGGUUGGCCAGCAAGCUGUGAACUGAGGCCAUGCUUGAAAAGAUGAGCUGGGCCCAUCAGUUUUUUUGUCUCUGGAUUUAGAUCUAAUGAGUGAAGAAAGGACUUUCUAUGAUAACCCAAGGUUUUGUGUAUGCUUAAAAUAUGAGUUAGCAGAAACUCUGAGUAGGCUGUGAGAGUUGGGUUGGGGCAGGGAAGAAAGAGGAAGAUGUGAAAUAGAGCUGAGUCAUAUUAAUAGUGCAUCACUACAGGUUCAAAAACUGCUGAUGCUGAGGCACGAAAAGCUGCCGUAACUCUAGAAUUACCUUUCACCUCCAAUAUGCCUUAGCCCCAGGCAUGAAGCAGCAUUUUCUUUGAAUGUCCUAAGAUAUGGAUCCCACACUUCUUGCAAUGUGCAUAUAUAUCUUAGCUGGCAUAAAUGGGUCUCUGAAUUAUUCAAGAAACUUAGCUUAUCUAAAAACAUAGUCCAAGGCUUUUCCCAUUAUAUCAAGUAAGCUUAUUUCAGAAACAAUAGAUGCCAUAUUUGAAGAUAAAUUGUUAGCAGUCACAUCUUUAAUUGACAAUCAGUCUGAAAUGAGUUUAUAAGCCAAACUGAGUUGGUCUGAUGGAACUAUCUGUUUGCUACCAAAUAUCCAUCUCCUAUCUACCUACAUAUCUACUUUUGUAUUUCUUUGUUGCCAGAAUACUUCCCCAAAAGAUUGAUUAUAAUAUUUUACAAAGCUAAUUAUAGUCUGAUUUUUCUCAAGGAGGGAAUCCCUUAAAAUUUAUGACAAAUUAUCUCGGUAAUGGAUGGGCCUCCACAACUCACCUGGCCUCUGUAUGUCCUCAGAUUUGCAGAGCUCGUUAGAACCAGAUCACUGUCUAAAAGAUCAGACAUGUGCUUUUAGUUUGUACUAAUCCAGACACAUAUCAUGUGUUAGUGGUUUCUGGAAUCACCCCAGAAAUCAAAGGUGCAGGCUUGAGAUUGAGUGCACAGUGAUUCUCAAAACAUGUUUUAUUGCCCCGAUGCUUUUUUUUAAAUGAACGUGUUAAGAUUAUUUUUAACUCUUUAGCUAUAUUAAAAUAGCAUACUUGCUUUAUAGUAAAGAAGUGUAUUUCAGCAUAAAAAUGGAAACAUAACUUCUUUUAUCAUUCUCCAGUACAUUCUAAAUUUUAAAUUACUGCUAAAUGAAAUGGUUUAUGUCAGAGGUUAACAAUAUGGGGUCUUAGAUUAAAACAAGCUCCAUGUAAUCUUAUUGAGCCAGUAGGUAACAGAAAUAAGAGAAAAUGUGUUUGAAUCACAGGAGAGAAGGGAUGUUGGAUGGAUCUGUGAAAUACUUUAUGUUGUAGUAUCAGCUGAUUGAUAGCAGCGAUUCUCAGAAGGGUUCCAAUAUUAUGCCUUUUAAAAGCUGGAGAUUAGUGCAACCAUGGUGAACAGCACAGCAACACUCUGGCAAAGAAAAAGGGCCAGGGCUGGCAAAAUGUGGCAGGUGUCAAAAUAAAAGGUUAGGCUCUGUGCCUGGGGACCCAUCUGUCAGAUAAAAGUAUGAUAAGGCAAUUAAUGUAUUUAUUUAUAUUGCUCAUGACAAACCAUGUAUUCCAUAAAAAUGGUCAAUUUAAACAUUUUCCAGUGUUCUCUAGAAAUUAGAAUUAAUAUAAAAAUAAAAUGUUCAAGACAAAAAGCGAGGUCUAAUAAUGAAAUGGAUUGCUUAUAUAAAUAAAUAAAGGUUGGAGGAAUUAUAGUAACCCACAUUGAAGGAUUAAAACUAUUACAUAUAACAUCUUGACAACACAGUGAUUAUAUUCAGGACCUAAAAUCGAUGUUUAUGUUGUAAGAUAAUUUUGGUAGCAUUCCUUGCAGGUUCCGCAUGCUUUAUAAUCAUUAGGCUGGAUUUCAUACUCUAAUAAAAUGAGGCCCAGAAAAAUUAUAGAAAUAGAAAUUUAGAAAUCCAAGAUAUGUGUCUUGCAUUUUCUUUAAAUGUUUUGUUCACAACCUUGUCAUUAUUAGAGCUUUCAUUUUCACUUCGUGACUAAUCCUGACUCCUCUUUAAUUUAUUUAUUAUUUAUUUAGCUUUCUCACUACUUCUGCUUUACAAUCUGUUUGGAGUAUGUUUAGAUUUACCAUUCAUCAGUGAUACGUUUUUUACAGAUAAAUUAUCAUAAAUUUUUUAAAUGCUGUGUUAUUUUACUGGUGAAUAACAAUCUAACCCAGUAUUAUAACAAAAAUGAGAUUUACUGGAGUCCCAAGUUUUAUGCAAAAACUGACCUAUAUUUACCCCUGAAUAAAAUAAAGUUAAAGCUCUCAAUUAUCAUGUUUUAAUAAGUGAAGCUCGCACCUUAUGGUAAUAGCAAAAUUUGAAGAGAAACAACAUGUAACUCUGUAGUAUAAUAUGCUAUGCAUAGGGAAAAUUCAAGUUAUUUAAUUGUAGGCAGAAAAAAUGCCAAUAUAACUAUGUUAUUGCCAAGCUGCACAUUCUGUCUGCUAAGUGAUGAAAUUUAACAAGUAAACCCAUUAGAAUAAUAAAGAGAAUCAUUUGGCUUUGGAAAGAACAGAGGUAUUAUGUUUAAUAGAUUUAUUUCCUUUAUGUUGAAGCAGCAUUUAUACCAUCCUCAGAACUCUCCAUUUAUUAGAAGGAUAUUGGUUAAACUUUGUCAAUGAUUUUUCUCCCCAAAAUUCCAUUCUAGCCCCUGAUAUUAUCACAGCAUUAAACUAUCUUCUAUUGGUCAUAUGAAACUUGGCUUUCUAUAGUAUAACAGCAAUGUUAGAGUAGGAGUUGAGGAAGGAAAAGUGAAUAAAAAGACACAAAGUAGAAAUGUUGUUAUAUGUCCCAUUUCGUAGUCUGAUACAUGAUUUACAAAUUAUGUUUGAAGUUUAAUUAUAAUUAACCACUAUUUAAAAUCAAAUUCGCUCAUUGCUUCAUUUCCUGACUCAGAGUUCAAUGCUGUUCCUAUUGCUGGUUUUAUUUCAUUUUAACCUCAAGUUUCUAAAUUAGCUCUGUUUCCUAUCGAUUUGUUUUCAUUUGCCGGAUGUACUUGAAAAUGCAUCAGGCCAAAAAAAAUUUUCCUUAUUUACCAUUUUGUACAACUCUUCAAAACUCUAGGACAUACUUCAUAAUAAAAAUAAUAAUUUCAACAGAAACUCAAGAUGUCAUUGAAUUUUGCCACGGAGCCACAAGAAUAAUACAUCAAAUAGAAGGUAAGAUUUUUGUUUUACUCCUUGACAGUGAGAAUUAUCCAUUUUAAGUUAGCUCUUUUGCAGCAUACAUUCUAUCUUUAUAUGGGAAGAAAAUAUACAAUGGGGCUCAUUUUAUAAAAAGAAAAAUCAACUUAAUUUUUACUUUCAUUUUUCUACAGAAGUAGAUGAGAAAAAUUUUGCUGGGUAUCCACCCACUUCAAUUCAGUCACUUGAAGAAAUUAUAAAAAUUCUGAUGAGUUUUAAAACUUUCGUUUGCUCUGGCAUAGUACAAACAUGCAUUGAUUUAUCAUCGCAGGUAUGUUUUCAUAAAUUUUCUCUUACCAAUCAGAUAAAAAUUCAUCCCAAUUUGCCAAAUUGUUCUCUUUAUAUUUUAAAAAAGCUUGACACAUAUAAGAUUAUUUCGGGGGAAAGAAACCCAGAUUUUCUCAUUUGUCAUUCAUUCAAUCCAUUGUAAUGGUAAAUGGUAUUCAUGAGCAUCUUAAUUAUGUUAACAAAAGAUGAAAACUUUUAGUAUAAAAUCUGUUGUGUGAAGAAAGUACUCAAGUACAAUUUUAUUUCAUGUUACAUAAAAAAUGCUAUCACUUUCUAAAGUUCUGUUGUUUCCAUAUCGUUGAGAUGUGUUCCCAUCAAACAUCAAAUGAUAUCUUUCAUCAGCAUAAAAUAAUCUGGAUGGAUCUCACCCAUCAAGGCAUCAUCCAUACCCCCAUCAUCUCAGACCCUCCAAAUUUGUUUCUCUUAUAGUUCCUGUUUUUCUUUUUUUUAAUUGAUCAACCACUCAUACAACACAAGGUAAGUAGUAUUAUUAUCUCCAUUUACAGAUAAGGAUUCUCGGGUACAGAGAGGUUAAAUACUUCUUAAAAUGUGAACCCCCUUUAUUUUAGUAAUUAGACUUUUAUCCAUCUACUUACUUGCUCAAACAAGGAAGGAAUGACAGAAUGUUGAAGAACUAAAAAGCAGAAGUGUGAAAGUUAUGCCAUAAGGGACAUGUGAUGCAAUUGUGGCCAUUGAGACACAGGACAACAUCUUCUAGGAAGAUUUUUGCAUACUCUUCAGACAAAAGGACGAGAUGCCUUUCAUCCAGCUUUUGAACAAUCUUGUGAGAAGCUACCUGAAGCUGCCAUAGCAUCUUAUAAGGCUGGGGAGAGUAACAGACAUGCUGAGGAUGGCAGAAAACAGAUUCUGAACCAACCCUGUACCAUUCUACCUCUAUAAAAGAAUUCUUGAUAUGUGACAUAAUAAAUUUUCCUUAAUGUCUAA